Drosophila melanogaster (fruit fly) is the source of this 97-nucleotide small nucleolar RNA. Lineage: Eukaryota; Metazoa; Arthropoda; Insecta; Diptera; Drosophilidae. The record is from Ensembl.
AGAGCGAGGAUGAACGUUUCAAAGUUGUCUGGGUUUAAUAAAACCACUCAAAAACUAAGUGUGGGUUUUCAAUGUGGGCUCAAUGGGUUCUGAGUUU